CUUCCGUAGGUGAACCUGCGGAGGGAUCAUUACUGAGUUUACGCUCUACAACCCUUUGUGAACAUACCUAUAACUGUUGCUUCGGCGGGUAGGGUCUCCGUGACCCUCCCGGCCUCCCGCCCCCGGGCGGGUCGGCGCCCGCCGGAGGAUAACCAAACUCUGAUUUAACGACGUUUCUUCUGAGUGGUACAAGCAAAUAAUCAAAACUUUUAACAACGGAUCUCUUGGUUCUGGCAUCGAUGAAGAACGCAGCGAAAUGCGAUAAGUAAUGUGAAUUGCAGAAUUCAGUGAAUCAUCGAAUCUUUGAACGCACAUUGCGCCCGCCAGCAUUCUGGCGGGCAUGCCUGUUCGAGCGUCAUUUCAACCCUCAAGCCCUGCUUGGUGUUGGGGCCCUACGGCUGACGUAGGCCCUCAAAGGUAGUGGCGGACCCUCCCGGAGCCUCCUUUGCGUAGUAACUUUACGUCUCGCACUGGGAUCCGGAGGGACUCUUGCCGUAAAACCCCCAAUUUCCAAAGGUGACCUCGAUCAGUAGAUGCAGGUCCCAAU
Molecule: ribosomal RNA, 547 nt
Filed under: Colletotrichum gloeosporioides
Lineage: Eukaryota; Fungi; Ascomycota; Sordariomycetes; Glomerellales; Glomerellaceae
Description: eukaryotic LSU rRNA
Rfam family: 5.8S ribosomal RNA (bases 205-358)
Source: RNAcentral